AUGUAUGUAUCACCACAGAAUUCUGGACAGACAGGCCGAUUUGUGUGUCAGAUAGUAGGUUCUCAUGUUCACUUGUUCCUUGCAGAUUGGAGGAGAGAACAGUUCCAGAAUGAAGGACUUCAGGAAAAAUAUGAUGAUCUUCAAAAGAAAGUCGAAGAACUUCAGGAAAAAAUUGAAGGACCACAGAACUUAGAUCAAGUCCAGAAAGAAAUGGCUAGGAUGAUGGCUCUGUUCAAGGAUGAUUGGAGGAGAGAACAGUUCCAGAAUGAAGGACUUCAGGAAAAAUAUGGUAAAGCCUCUUUAUAUCCCUCACCACCCAAACACUGUAGAACACCUGUGUUCGUGGUGUGUAAAGAUAUCCAGCUUUUAACCAACGUGUCACCACUGGCUUGCCCUCUGCCAGAUCUCUGCUAUUCUAGCACAAUAUUGCCGUUAGGGACUCUCCCAUAUUCCUCCCUUCUCUGCUCUUGCAAAGCCUGUAUGUUCCAAUAUAGUUGUGGUCAAGUGUAAACUCGAGGGGCAUCCCUGCACUGACUCUGAGCACAUGACCCAAGUGUCCCCAGGUAUUCGUAGACUUCCCAUUGUUUUACCUAGGAAUUUUUAUUUAGAACCAAUGAGAGUAAUUUUCAUUCUUUCUUUUACUUCAUUGACACAGC
RNAcentral lists this long non-coding RNA (656 nucleotides) under Sus scrofa (pig). RNAcentral describes it as "lncRNA (ENSSSCG00070023825.1)". Lineage: Eukaryota; Metazoa; Chordata; Mammalia; Artiodactyla; Suidae. The record is from RNAcentral.